Molecule: long non-coding RNA, 1710 nt
Filed under: Homo sapiens (human)
Lineage: Eukaryota; Metazoa; Chordata; Mammalia; Primates; Hominidae
Description: HSALNT0396257
Source: RNAcentral
AGUCGUCGCUUUCGGUUUUUAAUUUCCUUCCCCAUUUUUUUUCUUUACUUUUUUAUAAUGAGACAGGGGUCUCAUUAUGUUGCCCAGGCUGGUCUUGGACUCCUGAGCUCUAGCGAUCCUCCCGCCUCUGCCUCCCAAACUGUUGGGAUUACAGGCGUGAGCCACUGCGCCUGGCCUAUUUCUUUCCCUUUUUGUCUCCUUUCAAUUUUUUUUUUUAAACAAAAAGAGCAGUCUCUUUGAUCCAGAGCUUCACUGGAGGGUGAGGCUGUGGAUCCCAGGGUCCUGCGAGAAAAGCAAGUUGAUUGAAGGAAAAAUCUGUGGUCCGGGGAGAUGUUCCAAAUCCUGGAGGUGGAGAGGAAUGAAUGACGUUUGUGGCUUGCAGAUCAACUCCCCGCAGCGGGCGUGACGUUGUCACAGCCAAAAUUGUCCUCCACGCGCUGCUACGGUGAGUCAGGGGGAGAGGGGCCCCUCUGGGCAGACGGCAAAAGCCAUUUUUGAGUGUACAAGGAGGCAUUUUUCUGACAGCAUUUCCUGUCGGUACCCUCCUAUCUAGGGGCAAAAGUGUCACUGGGGCUUUCUGGGGCCUUUGGUGUGGGUCUUAGUGACAAAGUUCAGUGGCAAUCUGGCAUUCCCCUAGUGGAAUUGUCACUCCCACGACAGCCUCUCAUGCCCAGCUUCUGUCCGGCCCGAGGAGCCAGCUCUGGGCUGCCUGCUAUCCACGAGGUCAGGCGGCCCUGACAUUGGCAAGGAGAUUGACACCCACACUCUGUGCUUCCUUUGAAACAGAGUUGUUAAAAUUCCAGGCCAGACAAAUGUCCAAUAGGCCUAUGAAAAGAUACUCAAAGUCACCAAUCAUUAGGGAAAUGCAAAUCAAAACCACAGGCCAGGUGCGGUGGCUCACGCCUGUAAUUCCAGCACUUUGGGAGGCCGAGGUGGGAGGAUCACUUGAGGCCAGGAGUUUGAGACCAGCCUGGGCAACAUAGCAAGACUCCAUCUCUAUAAAUAAAUGAAUAAACAAAUAAAAACCACAGUGAGAUACUACCUAACACCCAUUAGGAUGGCUACUAUCAAAAAAACAGAAAAUAGGUUAGAAGUGGUAGCUCACAACUGUUAUCCCAAUGCUUUGGGAGGCCAAGGAGAGAGGAUCAGUUGGGCCAGGAGUUCAAGACCAGCCUGGGCAACAAAGGAAGACUUCAUUUCUAAAAAUAUUUAAAAAUUAGCUGAGCAUGGUGGCAUGCACCUGUAGUCCCAACUACUUGGGAGGCCGAGGCAAGAGGAUCGCUUGAUCCCAGGAGGUCAAGGCUGCAGUGAGCUAUGAUUGCACCAUUGCACUCCAGCCUGGGCAACAGAGUGAGACCCUGUCCAAAAAAAAAAAAAAAAAAAAGCAAAACAAAACAAAACCCCAUAAAUUGAAACCAUUGUGGGCUGCUGGUGACAAUGUAAAAUGGUGCAGCCACUGUGGAAAACAGUAUGGAGAGUCCUAAAAAAAUUAAACAUAGAGGCCAGGCAUGGUGGCUCAUGCCUGUAAUCCCAGCACUUUGAGAGGCCGAGGUGGGUGGACCAUUUGAGGUCAGGAGUUUGAGACCAGCCUGGACAACAAUACAAAGAUUAGCCGGGUGUGGUGGCAGCUGCCUCUAAUCCCAGCUACUCGAGAGGCUGAGGCAGGAGAAUCGCUUGAACCCGGGAGGUGGAGGUUGCAGUGAGCGGAGA